Molecule: long non-coding RNA, 414 nt
Organism: Parus major (Great Tit)
Lineage: Eukaryota; Metazoa; Chordata; Aves; Passeriformes; Paridae
Exons: 3
Source: RefSeq, a predicted model, not a curated record
GUGCAUGUCCUCAUUCUCAGCAGGCCAGAACAAGGGUGUGCCCAGAGUCCCUGGCAAGGGAUGAGCGCAGCGCCGCAGUAUUGCUGAUAUUGUGCCUUUCAGGGCGUGAAGGAGUUAAACUUUUCAGAUGGAAAGCGAGCUGAAGAUCAGACCAGCAGCCUGGUGACCUCCCGCUGCUGGGACAGCAGCAGCUCCCAGCCAAGGCCGGCAGUUCCAUCCAUCCAUCCAUCGGCGCGGUGGGGCCGCGGGGAGCAGCGGACGCUCGAAACCACAUCUGGCUUCGACUUUCUCAGCAGCAGAUCAGGAUCCCGAGGCCCUUUGCUACAAGACACCUGCACCUUUCAGUGUGGCAGCCUUGAUGUAAAUAGGUAACACACUUUGCUUGAAUCAGUGGAGCAGCUCCUGGAAGCAAAG